Molecule: transfer RNA, 77 nt
Filed under: Serratia phage vB_SmaS-Totoro
Lineage: Duplodnaviria; Heunggongvirae; Uroviricota; Caudoviricetes; Chimalliviridae
Description: tRNA-Ser
Rfam family: tRNA (bases 4-68)
About the family: Transfer RNA (tRNA) molecules are approximately 80 nucleotides in length. Their secondary structure includes four short double-helical elements and three loops (D, anti-codon, and T loops).
Source: RNAcentral
GACGAGUAGCUCAACUGGAUAGAGCACCGUCCUGCUAAGACGGAGGUUGGAGAUUCAAAUUCUUCCUCUGGUUCCCA